Molecule: long non-coding RNA, 1541 nt
Filed under: Oncorhynchus kisutch (coho salmon)
Lineage: Eukaryota; Metazoa; Chordata; Actinopteri; Salmoniformes; Salmonidae
Description: lncRNA (ENSOKIG00005008254.1)
Source: RNAcentral
GAAACCUUGAUCAGAUUGGGGUUAGUGUCCCCAUGCCUUAUUGCCAUGUUAGAGCGCUUGUUUACGGAAAACACAUGAACGUGGGACGUGGGUAAUGACAUAGAACUGCAGAGAGAAGGCAGAAUGUCGCCUAGAGUUUUAGAGCGGAGGGGUGGACCGUGGCUUUCCAGUACCCUAUCACAUUCAUUCAUCUUUUUCUUCUCAGCGUGGACCAUGCCUAUACAAUCCUUCUCCUUUCCUUUGCCUGAGACCAGGUUCUUCCAGGCUGGACAACAUGUCUACAAGUUCAAGAUCAGGGGAGGCAAUAACUGCAGUGAAGUGAAGGUGAUGGGAGAAGAGUUUGUCAAUCGGGAGUUGGAGGUAGGACACUGUGUCAUCCAUCCAUUAUUUUAUCCUUCCAUUCAUUUAUCCUUUCAUCCAUCCAUUAUUUCAUCCAUUCAUGAAUGAAUUAAUAUAUGAAUGAAUUCAUCCGUGUUUCUUUCUCCGUGUAGAAUACCAUCAGAGCGGUGCUAGCCAACCUGGACUGUCUUCAGCCGUUCACUACCCCACACUUCACUGUCUACCCUUACAAGAGUAAGUGGAAGAGAGUGUCCAAGUUUAAAUUUGAGAAGAUGUCAGGAGAGAAGCUGUCUGCUUACCCCUACCUAGUCACUGUGUACCUAGAGAACAACACACACACUGAGAUGUGUGUGGAAGAGUGCUGGACACCAGUGAGAGCAGGAGAAGGCAUCCCCCUCCUUCCUGCCAGUGGUCAUGAGUGCCAGGCCAAGCGCAGUAAGACAGGACCACCACACUGGGGCACCCUAACACCACAACAAAGAGACCGUCUCAUCAUGCAGGGACCACAGUCACACAUACAUCAUGAACUUCUCAGACCAGGGGAAACGGAGGCAAAGAAUGGUGAUGGCAAGGUGUCUCUCGCUCACUCUGUCUCACUCUCUGUCUCGCUGUCUCUCUGUCUGUCUCUCUAUUUGUCUCUCUCUCGCUCUGUCUCUCUCUCUGUCUCGCUGUCUGACUCCCUGUCUGUCUCGCUGUCUGUCUCGCUCUCACUGUCUUUCUGUCUCGCUCUCGCUGUCUUUCUCUCUCUGUCUCGCUGUCUGUCUCUCUCUGUCUCGCUGUCUGUCUCUCUCUGUCUCGCUGUCUGUCUCUCUCUGUCUCGCUGUCUGUCUCUCUCUGUCUCGCUGUCUGUCUCUCUCUCACUGUCUUUCUGUCUCUCUCUCCCUCUCUAUCUCACACACAAUGUGUCUUGUGUCUGUUUACUACUCCCUGGGGGCUACAUUUGUCCAGUCAGCUGGGAUAAUAACUUUGAUAUAACUAGCCCAUUAAGAUAAGAAUAGAAACAUUAAAUAGACAGACUGGAUGCAUCUCAAAUUGUACCCUAAUCACUACAUAAUGCAUGCUCCCUGGACAGAAAGGAAGGGAAUGUGGGGCUGUUUGGGAUACAUCCACUGUAUAUCAUGGAGAAUGGAAUCACAUCUCAGCUGAGAGAGAAAGACUGUGUGUUUGGAUGUUGGUGUUCUGAUUCCUGUCUUUUAGUAUAC